GAUGAACGCUGGCGGCGUGCCUAAUACAUGCAAGUCGAGCGAACGGACGAGAAUCUUGCUUCUCUGAUGUUAGCGGCGGACGGGUGAGUAACACGUGGAUAACCUACCUAUAAGACUGAGAUAACUUCGUAAAACCGGAGCUAAUACCGGGUAAUAUUUUGAACCGCAUGGUUCAACAGUGAAAGACGGUCUUGCUGUCACUUAUAGAUGGAUCCGCGCUGCAUUAGCUAGUCUGUAAGGUAACGGGUUACCAAGGCAACGAGGCAUAGCCGACCUGAGAGGGUGGUCGGGCACACUGGAAGUGAGACACGGUCCAGACUCCUACGGGAGGCAGCAGUAGGGAAUCUUCCGCAAUGGGCGAAAGCCUGACGGAGCAACGCCGCGUGAGUGAUGAAGGUCUUCGGAUCGUAAAACUCUGUUAUUAGGGAAGAACAUAUGUGUAAGUAACUGUGCACAUCUUGACGGUACCUAAUCAGAAAGCCACGGCUAACUACGUG
RNAcentral lists this ribosomal RNA (497 nucleotides) under uncultured bacterium. RNAcentral describes it as "partial 16S ribosomal RNA". It matches the Rfam family "Bacterial small subunit ribosomal RNA", at positions 28 to 507 of the family's 1533-position model. The record is from RNAcentral.